GGCCCCUUAGCUCAGCUGGUUAGAGCGUGGUGCUAAUAUAUAAACUAUACUAGGCACGCCAAGGUCAUCGGUUCGAUCCCGAUAGGGACCA
RNAcentral lists this transfer RNA (91 nucleotides) under Volvox carteri f. nagariensis. It matches the Rfam family "tRNA". Rfam says of the family: Transfer RNA (tRNA) molecules are approximately 80 nucleotides in length. Lineage: Eukaryota; Viridiplantae; Chlorophyta; Chlorophyceae; Chlamydomonadales; Volvocaceae. The record is from Rfam by way of RNAcentral.